Molecule: ribosomal RNA, 230 nt
Filed under: uncultured bacterium
Lineage: Bacteria
Description: partial 16S ribosomal RNA
Rfam family: Bacterial small subunit ribosomal RNA
Source: RNAcentral
UAAGCAACCUGCCCUCAGCUCUGGGAUAACUCCGGGAAACCGGGGCUAAUACCGGAUACGACCUUCCCUCGCAUGGGGGUUGGUGGAAAGUUCUUCGGCUGAGGAUGGGCCCGCGGCCUAUCAGCUAGUUGGUGGGGUGAUGGCCCACCAAGGCGACGACGGGUAGCCGGCCUGAGAGGGCGACCGGCCACACUGGGACUGAGACACGGCCCAGACUCCUACGGGAGGCA